GACGAACGCUGGCGGCGUGCUUAACACAUGCAAGUCGAACGGUAAGGCCCUUCGGGGUACACGAGUGGCGAACGGGUGAGUAACACGUGGGUGAUCUACCCUGCACUUCGGGAUAAGCCUGGGAAACUGGGUUUAAUACCGGAUAGGACCACUGCCUGCAUGGGUGGUGGUGGAAAGCUUUUGCGGUGUGGGAUGGGCCCGCGGCCUAUCAGCUUGUUGGUGGGGUGAUGGCCUACCAAGGCGACGACGGGUAGCCGGCCUGAGAGGGUGACCGGCCACACUGGGACUGAGAUACGGCCCAGACUCCUACGGGAGGCAGCAGUGGGGAAUAUUGCACAAUGGGCGCAAGCCUGAUGCAGCGACGCCGCGUGAGGGAUGACGGCCUUCGGGUUGUAAACCUCUUUCAGCACCGACGAAGCGCAAGUGACAGUAGGUGCAGAAGAAGGACCGGCCAACUACGUGCCAGCAGCCGCCGUAA
Molecule: ribosomal RNA, 478 nt
Filed under: uncultured bacterium
Lineage: Bacteria
Description: partial 16S ribosomal RNA
Rfam family: Bacterial small subunit ribosomal RNA
Source: RNAcentral